This 77-nucleotide transfer RNA is filed under the name Culex quinquefasciatus (southern house mosquito). RNAcentral describes it as "tRNA-Thr". The stretch from base 11 to 70 matches the Rfam family "tRNA", at positions 7 to 64 of the family's 71-position model. From Rfam's summary of the family: Transfer RNA (tRNA) molecules are approximately 80 nucleotides in length. Their secondary structure includes four short double-helical elements and three loops (D, anti-codon, and T loops). Further hydrogen bonds mediate the characteristic L-shaped molecular structure. tRNAs have two regions of fundamental functional importance: the anti-codon, which is responsible for specific mRNA codon recognition, and the 3' end, to which the tRNAs corresponding amino acid is attached (by aminoacyl-tRNA synthetases). tRNAs cope with the degeneracy of the genetic code in two manners: having more than one tRNA (with a specific anti-codon) for a particular amino acid; and 'wobble' base-pairing, i.e. permitting non-standard base-pairing at the 3rd anti-codon position. Lineage: Eukaryota; Metazoa; Arthropoda; Insecta; Diptera; Culicidae. The record is from RNAcentral.
GUGGCAACACGUGGUUGAAUGGUUACGAUGUCCACUUUGUAAGCGGAUGAUCAUGGGUUCAUUUCCCAUCUGCUACA